RNAcentral lists this long non-coding RNA (525 nucleotides) under Olea europaea (common olive). Its description in RNAcentral is "long non-coding RNA (OEUR_LNC013326)". The record is from RNAcentral. Lineage: Eukaryota; Viridiplantae; Streptophyta; Magnoliopsida; Lamiales; Oleaceae.
AGAAAACGACGUGAUUUAUAUUAAAAAUGGUGGCACCUUAUGGAAAUAUAUUACAAAAUCUGUAACAGCAUCACUGGAAUUCUAUUACAAAAUGGAAGCUAAAAGAGAGCAAUAGAUGGGAAUUACUAUAUAGUGCUGAAAGGAGAAAAUACAUGAGCCUCAUAAUGAUCUGAUAAUGUCUGAAAUGGAUUUUUUAGUAUCUUCUAUCUUUGCUGAAUCAAAAUCCCCCAACUCCAAAGGCAAUUGACCUGUGCCAUCACUAUCAACCUCCCCUUCAAGUGUCAAGCCUUCGAUUUUCGCAGCAAUGGCAUUUUCUUUCACGGGUACGUCAAUGUCUGUGGUCCAAAGUAAAAAUAAUCUAUCACGGGUACAUUUAACUUCAUUCUACAUUGAAACUGUUGAAGACAUAAUAUAAAUAUAACAAUUUGUUCAUGAGAAAAAUGGGUUAAAUGCGCUAAUGGCCACCAAACUUUGCAUUUAGUGUCAUUAUGGCCGUUCAAUUUGAUUUUAUUUUAUCAUAAUCAC